UCAGCAUUCAUUUUUUUUCUUUUAAUUUUCAAUUAAAAAAUCCUUCUAAAUUCGAUUACAACAGCAAAUUUCAGUAUAUGUAAACCCUGGAGCAUAAGUUGGUAUAUAACUAUAGGUACCUAAUAGGGUAUUUUAUCUGUAUAGUAUACAAUAGGGAAUUGCCCAUUCAUUGUCUUCAUUUUUGCAUUGAAUACAUUGAAACAGACUGAAGAGAAAAUAGGAAUUUUUAGUAGAGUACAGCAUAUGCUGGCCCGAAUAGAACCGUAAUGCAAUAAAGGAAGAAGGAAAGAUGUAAAUAUCUGCAUAUUUUAGUAAAUAAAAGAAAUACAAGCUUUCUUAUGCAGUUCAAUGAUACUUUAAUUCUACUAAAAAAAGGUAAAAAUAUAUCUUUUCUCUGUGAAUCAUUUUUCAAACAGUGGAAUACACAAAAAAGUGAAGUGUUAGAAAAAUCAACUUUCUAUUUAUUAUUUCUGAUUAUUAUGUCUUUAUCUUCACAAACAGAUCAAAUUAUAAGUACAUUUAUUUUUCUCGUAUUCAAUUGGAGAGUAUGUAAUAUCAUAAUAAUGAUAGAAAUUGAAUAACUUUUUUUGUUCUGAUAUUUUAUUAAAAACCCAAGAGUCUAAGUGACAUUUAUUAAGUCGUUUCCAUUUCUAUGUGUCUGAUAAAUUGCAAUUUGAGUGUAAUUUUUAUUUCUCUGCAAUUUGAGUAUAAUUUUUAUUUCUCCGUUCUUACGAAUUUCAUACACUACAUAUAUAUGUAUAGUUGGGUAAAAAACUUUCACGUGUUUCAGUAAAUGGAAUAGAAAUUCCAUUCUUACUUAUGAUUCCAUAAAGAAUAAUGAGACUUUCUCGAUAAAUGGGGGAAAUUAAAAAAAAAAUAACCUUGGGGAUGGAAAUGAGAGAAUGUCUACAAUACCUAGGUUGAGUCAGAUACAAUUUGAAGGAUUUUGUAGGUUGAUUGAUUAGGGCUUAAUGGAAAAUUUUAUAAGUUUCUAAAAAUUGAAGAUAUAUAUAAAAAAAUUGAAUUUCCAUGACAUAUUACCGUAGUCUUAUAUGCACCCAUUCAGUUUUUUAGCAGUUAAAAUUUUUAUUUACUUUCCAGGCUGCAGGUAUUCCAAAGAAGUUGGCACCUACUAUUGGUAUCUCAGUUGAUCAUCGCGUAGACCGUCUCUGGAGGUCUUCAGCCAAUGUUCAGAGGCUGAAAACUACAAGGCCAAAUUGGUUGUCUUCCCAAGACGAGCACUCAAAUUCAAGGUAAUUCAAGUUAUUGAAGUAUGUUUUGUAAGCUUGGUUGUUCAUAUGAAAGCUGAAUAUUGUACUUUGGCUCCUCUCUCUGCUGUAGGCUGGUGAUUCUGCACCUAAGGAACUAGCAACAGCUACUCAAGUUCAGGGACAAUACAUGCCUAUUGUGCGCGAGAAAGCUGGAGUGGAGCUUGUUAAGGUUACAGAGGAGAUGAAGUCUUUCAAGGCAUAUGACAAGCUCCGCAUUGAGCGCGUGAAUCAACGCCAUGUCGGUAUUAGGAUGAAGAGGGCUGCCGAGGCUGAGAAGGAAGAGAAAAAGUAAUUAGUUUGAUUAAAUAUUGGGUACCAUUGAGUUUUGAUGUUAGACAGCAAGUUGUUAGUCAUUCUGUUGAAUUUUUGAAUUGGAAGAUAUAUUGAAUACAUCAUGUGUCGGAUGUUCAAGAAGAACUUGGAUGUUACAUACAAUCGGCUUUUCCCAUAUGUAUUUGCCUGUUUAAGUUUGGACAUUUGGUUCAGCUUCAUUGAAUUGCUUGCGCAUUAUAACUGGCACCAGAUGGCUUCAUAUUGGGAUGUGCAAAGGAUUAAAUGAAAAACCAGGAGUUAGUUUGAUGAUUAAAGUACAUUUUUGGUCGCCUAAAAUGGUGUAUGCAGUUUGUUCUUGUAAUGGAGAGCUCUUGUCAUGUAUUCGGCAGAGAAACCAGGCAAGAUGCCUAUAUAUAUAUAUGGCAAAAGGCAAAAUCUCGUUUCUGAAGAGUUGGGUACGACCAUCCCAAAGAUUCCUUCACCAACAUAUAUGGAUGUAUGCAAUGCAUUAUUGUCAUGAUAAUUCUCCCAGACAAAGAUUAGUUUAGCGGUAAUGAUAUUUUAAGGCAAUAUUUUUACACAGAUUAAGUCUCUUUUUAGGUGAUCUUUGGCGCAUUCUAUUCUCGCCAUUAAAUCUCUCUCCAAAGUUGGUAUAACUUACCAAAUAUUUUUAUGAUAAUCUGGUUUAAUCAGACUUGUUGAAAGGACAAAUUUCAUGACUUACGGUUUUGAAUUGUGUGUUCAUGUUUACCCAGGCAUGUAAAUUUUAAUGGAUGUGUUUUCAACUUCUAUAAAACGGAUCAAAAGACUGUCCUAGAGAUGCUUGGUAAAUGCCUUUGUAUAAUCUUGCUUCUGUGAUAUAUACUUUGGUGCAAUGUGUUUACUUCUGUCGGAUUUCCAUAAAUGUAUCUUUAGAAUCCUCUUGACCUGGGUUUAUAGGCUCAUAAUACAUUACACAUGACUUUAAUCAUCGAUAAAAUCAGUUUUUUGUCUUAUAUUUUUUUGUCUUAUCGUUUUUUUAUCUAUAUAUUAUUUUUAAAAAAAUAAAAAUGUAGAGUCAGCAUUAAUGUAAGAGCAUUAAGAGGACACAACUCAUUUACAAUAUAUUUACAAAUCGAUUAAAUUAUUAACAAUUAAACCAAAAUGAUCAUGAUAGCCAAUGUUAUAUCCCAAAAUAAUCGAAUCAAAAUAGUGAAACCAACAAUAAAUGAUUUUAUUAAAAUCAAAUUCUAUUCCUUAAAAAACGCGAUUGUUUCUCUCUUUUUUAAGGACUCACAUAAUGGUGAGUGAGAUUAAUCUUAACCUUUUUCUCUUGCUGCUGAUGCCUUCCAUACUAGGAGUUCUAUGUGUAUGUUGUUGUUCAUGACCCAAGACAACCCCAUAAGGGUAAGAAUUGUGUUCCAUAGGUGCUGUGAGACCGAACAGCCUAAAAGCAAGUGAUCGUGAAACUUCUUUUCAUUUGGCCUAUAUUUUAUUAUUUUAGACAAAAUGAUAUAAAAAGAAUUAUAGUGCAUGGAUUGAUAUGUCUUGGUAUCCCAUGGACCAGUAUCUCUUGGCUGCUACCGAGGUCCUAAGAAAAACUAAGUUUUAUCUCUUUUAUCGCAUGAGAAGUAUUAAUUCUACUAUUAAACUUAAACUUUAGUUCUUGCAGAAAAUUUCAUGCUUUCUUAUCUUCUUGUGUAAGCCUAUUUCAUACUUCAUCUAAAAAACAAAAAUUUAUUUCAUACUCAAUAUUCAACUAGUAAUAUGUAAUGAGCAUUGAGAAAGUUGUUAGCGUAGACAAAAUGUUCAAUAUACUGAUAUUAGAUGCAAAUUAAUUGUGGAUGUAUCUCAAUACUUUUUAUGCAUUUAUAGGGAUUGUAAACUUGGUACAACACAUUAUUUAUAAUUUGGUAUAUUAUAUGAUGAAUUGUCGCAUGAAGUUUGUUGAAUUUUCCAAAAUUGCCUCAACCUGGAGCCGGUUUGUGUAAAAACAAUUUUCUUCAAAUCGUGCAGGUUCUCGUUGAAACCCACAUCAUCUCGCCCCAUUAAAAGUAAGAAAUUCUCUUCCAUUGCUUUUCCACGGAUUUACUAAACUACAAACAAGGAUUAGAGAAAGAGCUUUUGUUGAGAAGAAAAAAGAAGUCAUCAUCUUGUUGAGAAAAAAGAAAAAACAUUGCAUGGACGAUUUUAGCAGGUUACGGGAUUUUUUACCAUCCCUAGUUGAGAAGACAAGGAACAAUAUGGAGAAAAUAAACAUUUAACUAGCAGUAAUUCUAGUUCAAAAACUAUUAUGUGCUCUGCGAGUAGAGAUUGAUACAUUUUAAAUUACGUUUUCACAAUUUUAUUACAAAAAUUUAAAAUCGAUCCUAUCCUUUUCUACAUAUCCAACCAUUCCCAGUCCAAACAUAUUGCUAACAAGAGGUGGACACAUGACAAGAAUGAUCUUAAUUUUCCUUUUGUUUAGGCUUCCUAUGAAGAAGUGAAAGUUGACAGACAUCACCUUCAACUGAUAUUAAUUUACUGCACAGCAUAUAAGUUUUAUUCAUGAAGAAACAAGCAAGCAUAACAAUUAGUUUCCCAGGGCUUAAAUCUAUCUUUUCUUCUCCACCUACGUUCUGUAACCAAUUAAGUAUCUUCUCUCUGCCCUAGCUUUAACCCAUAUCGGAAUGAAGACUCAGAAUCAUUAACCCACUCAACCCAGUGUUGCUUACUGCUAGAACACACAUAAAAUAAGUGCACAGAAAAGGGACAAUCGAGGAUUACUUGUUAUGUACGUAGAUGCUGCAUCUUACUUGCCAUUGAUCCUCUCUAUGACUGUGAUAAGACCUUGGGUGCCAAGCUUCCCAUCUCCAUUUGCCACCAUUGCAGAGAAGAGCUGCUUGCACAAUGCAGCACCAGGUAACACAACCACCCUCUUAUCCUCAUCCUCCUCUACAACAUCAACACCCAUGCCCAAAUCCUUCACCAUAUAUUCAGUGAACCCACCUGGCCUAAAAUCCUUCCCAAUCACCCUCUCCCCAAACAACUCCAUAGCCAUUGACCCAGCAGCCCCACCUCUCACUGCCUCCAUAAAUUCUCCCACAUCCAACCCUGCUUCUCUGCAAACACAAAACCUUCACUCAACCCAAGCAAAUUCGCCCCCCCAAUAACCUGAUUUGCUAUCUUGCAACUUUGCCCACAACCCGCCUCACCUAUAUACGUAACCUUUCCCAUGAAUUUAAACAACGGCGAUAACCACUCCACCACUUCGCAUUCACCUCCAGCAAAGAUAGCAAGCUUUCCUUCUCUCGCGCCAAUGUCGCCUCCAGAUACCGGCGCGUCCACAGACCAGCAGCCUUUGGCGCGCGCGGCCGUGAAAAUCUCCCGAGCCAGAGAAGGGUGGCUGCUGGUUGUGUCAACGAUGACGGCACCGGAAUUUAGGCCAGAAAGCAAGCCGUUGGGACCCAGGACAAUUUCUCGAACAUCUUGUGGGUUACCCAGCAUGGUGAAAACAACAUCGCACGAACGAGCGAGGUCGUGCGGCGAGGGGACCAGACGGGCUCCCUGGGCUUGAAGAGGGAGGCAUCUAGAGGGAGUACGAGCGUAGAUGGUGAGAGAGUAGCCGGCGGAAAGGAGGUGAGAAGCCAUGGCGGCACCCAUAACUCCGACGCCAAUCCACCCGAUACGGGUACGUGAGGGCGAUAUAGGUUCUGGGUAUGGAGUUUCCAUGUAGGAUGAAGGAGAUGGAGUGACAAGCUAGCAGUAAUGGCAAUGCUAGUAUGCUUCAAAAUGUAGCAGAAACUUUUGUUUUGGUUUUACUGCAAUACUAGUAUAGAUUUUGUUUUCAUUUUAGUAUUUUGUUCAGUGAGAAGUCUGGAAGAAGAGAAUUGAUAAUUUACGGUUUGAUCAUACGGCUCUAUUUUUAUUGAGAUUUAUAAAAAGUAACCCUAAAUAUACUUGUUUAGUUUUAAAUAUUUUUAGAUAUAUUACUAAAUUAAUUUUUAAAAUUUAACACUUGUACGAUUUGAUCUCUAAUUUCAUUAUAGUUUGUUUUUUAAUAUUUUAUAGUUAUUUCAAAUGUUUAAUUUCAAAAUUAUAUUUGCACACUUUAAAAAAUAAUUCAGGAGAAUAAUUUUUACUAAAUAAAUUAAUUAAUAUUUUUAAUUUAUUAAUUUCUUGUUAUCGGUGUAUUAAUUUGAUUAAUUAAUUAAAAUUUUUUGUUGAGUUAUUGUUCAAAAUGUCAAAUAUGGUCUAAUAAGUUUCAGUUUUUUUAAUUAAUAAAUGAAAAAAAAAAAUUAAGUAUUUAAAACCAAUAAGAAAGAAAGCAAAAGAGACAAACAUGAGUAAAAAGUGAAUCAAAAUAAAUAAGUAAAUAAAAUUGGACAACAAAUUCGUAUAGUAAAUGUUGAAUAGCUCAUGUACUAUCAAAUAAAAAUUCAGAAAAUAUGUACUUAUUUCUCUAACCACCAUCUUCUGUUCUAUCAAAUAAUAUAUUCAAUACAAAUAAAAACAGUAACUCGAUCUCACUUUAAAACAUGAUCUCUUAAAUUUUCAUAAAGAAAAUGACAAUAUUUGACACAUUUUUUAUUUUCUUGAUACAAAUUUACAACUAACUAUUAAAGAUAAGUUAAAAUCAAUUCUGAAGUCUCUCGACCAACUUUUAAUCUACUUUCCAAUGAUUUGACCCCGAUGCAAAACAAAAAUACCACAUGGGCGCACUUAAUCAUAUUGUAGAGAAUUAUUUUCAAUUCAAACAUAAAGUAUAUAACUUAAAAGACUUUGGUAUAUUUUAAUUUGUCAACUAAAAAAAUAAUGAGACAAGUAUCACUACCAAUCCAUUACCAAACUAGGGGGAAAAAGAAGUGAAUUAGUUGGCAUGAAUAAACGUAUUAUCCUGAUUGAGCUAAAAAUGAAAGAUUAUUGACAUAUCUUGUUUUUUUCUUGUGUAAUUGUAGUAUUUCAUUAAUAAAUAUUUUUUUUUGCAUCAAAUAGUCUUUUCUAUUUCAAUAAAAAAGAGGAGAAAAAAAAAAGCAAAGACAAAAAAUUUAAAAAUAAAAAAGAAAGAAAAAUGAAUAAAAAUGGAAAAACUAAAGAUAGACUUAAGACCCAUUAAAGGUAGUUUACACCAGGGAGAAUGUAAAAGUCCAGAACUUAAAUAAAAAUAAAUUCAUAAAUUAAAUACAGAAGCGAUUCAUAGAAUCAAAAUUUACAUUCCUUACACAAUAAUUUAAAAUGUCCAAUAGAGUUACAAGAAUGUCUCUUCUAAAAGACAAAAGAAAAUUAAAGAAAUAAAAUGAAAAGUGAAUAACUAAAUAUCUUAUAACAACCUUCACUAACACUUGAAGGGACUCUGGGUCGUUAACUACUCACAACCCUCUUGUUGAUCGAUAUCUAGAUCUUAAUCUUUUUUAUCUAAAAUAAUUAAUGAAAAUGUGAGAUACACUAGUUUAGUAAGAAUAUCACACUAAUCACAUAUACGAAAAAUUAAAGAUUGGUAAAAACAAAAAAAAUAACUAAUGGAGCCCUUGCUUUAUUUAAAUUCAUUUAAACUUGAAAACAUUUGUUUAAUACUUACCAUAACGAGUUUUCCAAAGACAACUUCUAAAGACUCAUAUUCAUAUACUUUUUAUUUUUACAUAAAAGAGAACAAGAGAUUAUAGUUUUCCUUUCUUACCUGGUUAAUAAUACCCUUGGGGGUCCAUAGGAGUGUUUUUCCUACCCGUAAACCCGAUAUCCAAUUUAAUUAAUUAACCGGUCGUUUUCAUACUCCAUCUAGUAAUGGGCGCCAAACAUUCAAUCGUCUCGAUACUCCGUCCGAUAUAAAGGUGAACUAUAUCUCCCAAACCUUUAUGGUAAGGGACUUCCCAGCCCCGUCUAACUGGGGUAACAUUCACUAUAGGGUUCCCUAUGUACCGAGUCCAUCCGUCCUUUCUCGAGUACCUAGUAAGUCUUGCAUAUAUAUAUUUCAAUCAAUAAAACAAUCAAUCACACAAUACCAAUAUCUCAUUGUAUAUUCAUAAAUCAAUAAAACAAUAUUUAAACAAGCGAUUUAACUUAUCAUAACCAACAACCAAGUAAUCAGAUAAGCAGAUAAAUCAUGCAGAAAGGGAUUAAAUAACCCAGAUAAUCGAGAAAACUAUAAAAACUAUCAAUGUAAAUAUACACAAUAUAAUAGUAAACAAUUUAGGCAGUAUAUGAAAAUAAACAGGGAAUCAGGAUAAAUAUGAAUUAACCAGUUCUAGUUCCACUAGUAACCCGUAAUUAUUUUUAGAAUUUUAUAAUUUUCAUAAAAAUACAAAAUUAUAUAUAGUUAAGUUUCAAUUUACCAUAAUGAAAAUAAAAUGAGGAAUUCUUACUCGGAUCGGUAUUCCAAGACGUCGAGCUAUCUACUACGCCUCUUAUUAGGUAUCAAAUUUCGUGAAUUUUUUCUGUUGAAUCUAAACACUCGCCACAUACCUAAAAUACCCCAGAAAUCUAAAAUCGGUGUCCAAAUCUCAUUCCGGCCAAUUUAAAAUUCAAGCAUUGCGACGCCACCAUGCUCCAACACUGGCUCUGCCACCCACGACGGUAGUUCUCCUCGGUUUGACCGGUUUUAGCUGUGUCCCUGCAAAAAAACAUGUUAGCUGCCUCAGUUGGCUGAAAAAUCACAAAAAAUUGAACCUACCAGCAUGAGGAACCCCUGGGUGCGGCGGCUCCGCCGGUUUUCCUUCGCAGUUGAGGUUCUUUCUUCGAGUAAUCUACACAUAAAUGGACAGUAAACACAAUAAUUAAAAAAAUACGUGAAACAGAAAUUGGGAAGGGGCUCAUCAGAGAAAUUUUGGGGUUUUGGACGUGGCGGCUCCGUCAGACUUUACCCACGAUUUUUUCGCUCACCUGCCGUCCUUUUUGCUCCAAUUUGGCUACAUGGGUGCUCGGAAUCGAAUUUCGAGCAGGUAGAGGGAAUUUUUACCUUCUUUAGCAGUUGAUGGUGACUCUGGUGCGGUGACAGUUGGCGGUGACUCUGGUGCGGUGGUAAUCAGCGGUCGGCCUUCUUCUCCAGCGUCUGGUUCUUCUUCUCCGACGGCCUAUUGCUGGCUAAGGUUCCCAUGUGAUGCAAAGUAUUUAUACACAUCCCGCAUUGAUUUGGACCGUCCAUCGCAAUCGAUGUCGUCCAUCUGAUCGCGCCUAAAAAGUAAACGAAUAGUCAUCCAUCGUGAUUUGAUUUCGACGUCCGAUCGCGCUUAAGGGAGGAACAAAUCUAGGCUGUUCACGUGCGCGAGAUCAAUCCUAAGUCAUCCGAUCGCAGGGCACGCAGAUCGCCCGCAUAACCUCCUGUGUGGCACCGAUGUCAGCGUGCCUUACCACGCGACAUGCUCUAGUUCGUCGAGACUGCUGACUAGACGAACCUACGUGACACAAUUUUUUUAUUUGCACUUUGAUCCCUUUAUUUUUAUUUUUUUUAAAAAAAUACCUCCGAACUCAAUUUUUUACUUUUUUUUUUCUAAAAUUAUUUUCGAUUACAUUCAUAACCUAUUUUUCAAUAAAUUCAACAAAAUUAAAUUAAAUUAACUUAUAAAUACAUUUUUAUUUAUUUUUAAAUUAUUAAAAUUGAUUUUGCGUUAAAUUCGGGACUCAGAUAUUAUAGAAAAAAUAUAUAUCAAAAACUCACUUUAGAAUGCUACCCAUUUCCAUAUAAAGUUUAUCAUAAAUGCUCUAGCACCACAAGAAAACAUUCAAUAACAUUACAAUUUUAAAAUUCUAGGCCAACAACAUUUGAAGACCAAAGAACAUUAAAAGCCUAAGCAAGGAAUUUUUUUUUUUUAAAAUGAGAAAAUUAAAUAAGCCUUCAACACAUUUUUUUUUUUUUUUAAAAAGUAACUCAUUAUAUUAAGUUAAAUAAGAAGUUGUGAAAAGAGUCUUCACACAUUAAAAUAAAAAUGGAAAAAAAGAUUAAAAAAUAAAUAAAUAUUUAUAUUUUUACUAUAAAUGGCUUACACUUGUCUCAUAACUAAAUUAAUGUAAGAAUUUGUUUGUCUCGUUAAAAUAUUUUUAAGAUGAAAAAUGGUAGACUUUAGUAAAAUUUACAACUAUAUAAUUUUAAUAUAAAUAUAUUUGUAUAUUUAACUAAUUUUGUUAUAAAAUUAAUAAUAAUAUAAGCUCUAUCUCAAAAGUAUUUAUUUUUAACUUUUGAUUUCAUAUUUUAUAAAAAAAGUAAUUUUCAUUUUUAACUAAAAUAUUUUUAUUUUCAAGCAGUCAACUAUACUUGUGUAUUUUCACAUUACGCCGGUAAAAGCAGAAAUAGUGCUAGCGCUAGCAUGUGUAAUUUAGCUUAUGUCUAUAAACCCUAAUUACCGUUCUGUGCGCGCCGUAUAUAUAUAUAUUUAUAUAUAUAACCCUAAGUGUGCGACUCUCCCUCGAACGCCUCAGGAGCGCUCACAUCAGGUAAUACCUCAGCCUCUCUCUUUCUCCAUUUGUGUAGUGUUAUCCUCCAUUCUUUUACUUAUUCUACAUUUUAAUUUCUAGACGUUUUAUUUUAAUUGCCUUCUUUACAAUCGAUUAAUCAUGCACGAUUCUGCUUUUAUUUCUCGACUUAAGCUUGUCAAUUCUCUUUCUUUGUGUUUUUCUGUCAUAUGCGCUUAUAUGCUGCUUGGUUGAUCGUUAGCUUUUCCUUUUGACAAAUCUGUUUCCAGUAGAGAAUGUGUAGGUGAUGGUAAAGAUGAACAGCAAACGUGUUAAGAGUGAAACAAGUCUAUAUGAACACGCUGCUUUGGUUUAAAAGGUUCUUUCGUUCUUGAUUAAAGUAUAUUGUUUGCUACCGAAUGAUUGUUUAUGGCAAUUUUUUGGUUCUUUCAUUUAUCUGGUUUUUAAAAUUCUGUCUUAUCUCCCGUACCGAGAUUCUCCGAUCUGCUUAUAACUAUUUUGUCAUUUAUUCGUUCUUCUUCUCAUUAAUUCAUUGAUUGAUUUUUAUUUUUUCAACGCAAAGAUUUUCUUGUCUAGAUCUGUAGAUAUAUGCGGGUACGUUUAUUAGCUUUGAUAUCUGUUAAGGUCCAUUGUCUUUUGAAUGUAUAACAUUUUUUUAAUUCAUGUUUUGCUCAUUUUCUUGUUUGUCUUUCGUUUUCCUUUUUUUUUUUGUUUUUGUUUUGGUUUCUUUUGGUUUUUUCCCCUAAAAUUUUAUCAAGAGUUUUUUACUGCAAAUAGUUUUAUGUUAUGUAUUUAUAAUACAAAUCAAAUGCAUGUUAGUUUCCCUUCAAUUCUGUCAUGGAUAUCCUCAUCAAGAAAUAAAAGAAAAACUCUUUUGAAUUACUAUAUGAUUGAAUAAGAAGCAGUCGUUAUCUGUAGUUGGCAAUUUUUUCACUCCUUCCAUUGACUUUUCAGGUAAAUAAAAAUGGUUAAGCACAACAAUGUUAUUCCUAAUGGGCAUUUUAAGAAACAUUGGCAAAACUAUGUGAAAACGUGGUUCAACCAGCCUGCUAGGAAAACCAGGAGAAGAAUUGGUGAGUUGUUUUCUGCUUUUUAGGAGUUCACAUUCUGCUAUGGAUGGUUUGCGUGGCAUUUGCAAAAUUUUCUUUUAUGGCUGUUACUCUGGCUUAUUUUUAAUUUUUAAUUGCUUUACAGCAAGACAAAGGAAGGCUGUGAAAAUUUUCCCUCGCCCAACUGCUGGUCCGUUACGUCCGAUUGUCCAUGGCCAGACUUUGAAGUACAACAUGAAAGUGAGAGCUGGAAGGGGUUUUUCUCUUGAGGAGCUCAAGGUGAGUUGUUCUUUUAGUUUUUUUACUUAGCCUUCCAUAUUUUUUGAAUUCAAGUUCUUUGUUUGUGAGUUUAUCGUGUGUUCUCAUGACAAUGUUUCUUGGUUUUGAUGAGCUAUGAGGUCCUGAGUCUGGAUCGGCUCAAUGAUGCUACCUGAUCUUACACUUACUGCUUUCUGUUUGCUAUGGAUAUUGUAUAACAUGCAUUUUUUCCUUCUAAAAAUGUAUAAUUAUACAUAUUUUUCCUUCAAAAAAUGUAUAAUUAUUCAUAACAUUGUAAGUUUAAGAGUGCUUAAUUUUUUGGAAGGUUACAUUUACUCUUCACAAGGUGAGAAACACGAACAUCCUCUUAGAGUAUCGUUACCUCUUGAUAUUGGUGUACCAUUUAUGGCAUUUAAAUACUAUCAGUCUUGUAUGCAUCCAUUCAGUUUUGUACUUUUUAAGUUUUUUGUUUAAUUUCCUUAUUUCAAAGAAAGUUUUUGUUUACUUUCCAGGCCGCAGGUAUUCCAAAGAAGUUGGCACCUACUAUUGGUAUAUCAGUUGAUCAUCGUCGUAAGAACCGUUCUCUGGAGGGUCUUCAAACCAAUGUUCAGAGGCUGAAAACGUACAAGGCGAAAUUGGU
Molecule: long non-coding RNA, 11852 nt
Filed under: Carica papaya (papaya)
Lineage: Eukaryota; Viridiplantae; Streptophyta; Magnoliopsida; Brassicales; Caricaceae
Description: long non-coding RNA (CPAP_LNC009993)
Source: RNAcentral